GAACUGCGAUAAUUAAUGUGAAUUGCAGAAUUCAGUGAAUCAUCGAGUCUUUGAACGCACAUUGCGCCCCCUGGUAUUCCGGGGGGCAUGCCUGUCCGAGCGUCAUUGCUGCCCUCAAGCACGGCUUGUGUGUUGGGCUUCCGUCCCUGGCAACGGGGACGGGCCCAAAAGGCAGUGGCGGCACCAUGUCUGGUCCUCGAGCGUAUGGGGCUUUGUCACCCGCUCCCGUAGGUCCAGCUGGCAGCUAGCCUCGCAACCAAUCUUUUUAACCAGGUUGACCUCGGAUCAGGUAGGGAUACCCGCUGCACUUAAGC
This 314-nucleotide unclassified non-coding RNA is filed under the name plant metagenome. RNAcentral's name for it is "partial contains 5.8S ribosomal RNA, internal transcribed spacer 2, and large subunit ribosomal RNA". The stretch from base 1 to 105 matches the Rfam family "5.8S ribosomal RNA", at positions 50 to 154 of the family's 154-position model. The record is from RNAcentral.